Molecule: unclassified non-coding RNA, 511 nt
Filed under: Bombus terrestris (buff-tailed bumblebee)
Lineage: Eukaryota; Metazoa; Arthropoda; Insecta; Hymenoptera; Apidae
Description: misc RNA ENSBTSG00005023676.1
Source: RNAcentral
UGUUAGAUUCAAACGUGGUAAUUUAGAGAUGUGGCGUUAAAUUUAUAGUGGGUACUACUGGUAAUUGGUUUAAGUUCUGAUACUUCAGGAAGCAUUCAGCUGUUCCAGUAUAUUGGCAAUAUGGUGUUCUAAUGGACGUGUGUCGAGAUUUGUGGACUGUUUUGUAACGAAGUCUGCGAGGAAGUGAAUCAAUGAUAAGUGGAAAUUCCUUAUGGGAUCCGCAUAGUAAUUUAGAAAUUUUUGUAAGCUACUGUGUGUCGAGCAUUAUCGUAACAAGGAAAUGAAGCGAUGAUGGAUAGAAAGAUGAUCGCGAUGAAACACGUAAGAAUUAUUAUACAUAUCUAAUUCGGUUAUUAGCGACAAUUAAAAAUAUUGUCCUACCAAAAAAUGUCAAACGAAGUAUCCCAAAAAUGUCAAGCAUGUUGACGUCACCAACAAACGAUAAAUUACACGAACAACGCAAUUUGGAAAUACCUGGAAGCUAUUAUGAGUAUAUUCCAGUCAUUUAAAG